UCUAUGAUUUAAAACAACAAUCAUUUUAUUUUUUCUUAUUUGUUUGUUGACUCACUGAAUGGGUCUUCAAGCUACGGGUUUGUCUAGUUAUGCUCCAUGUGCCUCUCAACUGCCUUGGCACAAAGGGGCAGCUGGGUCAUAUUCUUUUCAUGCCAGUGGAAGGAUUUCAAGAAGAAUGAACCACACUGGCACACUCUCACUCCCAACCACAUUCUGUUGGCCAAAGUGGACCACAGGCCAAGCCCAAAAUUAAAAGGAUGGAAAAAAUGCAUUCUAUCAUUAAAAUCACAUGGCAGAUAAAGCGUCAAACUUUUUUUUUUAUUUUUUAUUUUUAUUUCCGAGACAGAGUCUCGCUCUGUUGCCUAGGCUGGAGUGCAGUGGCACGAUCUUGGCUCACUGCAACCUCUGCCUUCCAGGUUCAAGCAAUUCUCCUGCCUCAGCCUCCCUAGUAGCUGGGAUUACAGGCAUGCACCACCACACUUGGCUAAUUUUUUAGAAUUUUUAGUAGAGACAGGGUUUCACCAUGUUGGCCAGGCUGGUCUUGAACUCCUGAACUCAGGCGAUCCGCCUGCUUGGCCUCCCAAAGUGCUGGGAUUACAGGCGUGAGCCACCGUGUCUGGCCUUCAUCAAGCAUUUUGAACAAAGAUAUUGUCUUCCAGUCUUCAUACUUGGUAAUAUAAGAUCUUCCAUACUGCCUAGUGUUUCAGGAGUCCGCAGGACUGUAUCAGUCCACAGACAGCAUUUAUUCUAAUCACAGAGUGCCCUCUGGGCAGUGCUCAUGCUAUGCGGGAAACUGAAAAUGUUUAGUAUCACUCAUCAGUUUGAUCAAGAGUAGACCAUUUAAGUUUUUGAUGUGUUCCAAGUAGAGGCUAGAUUCCAUUGCUCAUGAUAGACACUAAAAAGCAGUUUACUUCUUGCUGCUGUCCAGCUCACUUUCUCUAGCAGUUCAACCCAUGCAUGGUUUCCAUUUCCAAGGCUGCUCGUGGUAUCAGGAAGAGCUGGAACUCUUGUCAUUUUGUGUAUAUUCUAGGCAGCCGGAGAGAAGAAAAGA
Molecule: long non-coding RNA, 1051 nt
Filed under: Homo sapiens (human)
Lineage: Eukaryota; Metazoa; Chordata; Mammalia; Primates; Hominidae
Description: HSALNT0146699
Source: RNAcentral